Molecule: ribosomal RNA, 253 nt
Filed under: uncultured bacterium
Lineage: Bacteria
Description: partial 16S ribosomal RNA
Rfam family: Bacterial small subunit ribosomal RNA
Source: RNAcentral
CACGUAGGGCGCAAGCGUUGUCCGGAAUUAUUGGGCGUAAAGAGCUCGUAGGCGGUCUGUUGCGUCCGCUGUGAAAACUCGGGGCUUAACCCCGAGCCUGCAGUGGAUACGGGCAGACUAGAGGUAGGUAGGGGAGAAUGGAAUUCCCGGUGUAGCGGUGAAAUGCGCAGAUAUCGGGAGGAACACCGGAGGCGAAGGCGGUUCUCUGGGCCUUACCUGACGCUGAGGAGCGAAAGCGUGGGGAGCGAACAGG